CGAGUGCCUGCUGGAAAAGGACAGGAGCCGAGUGGGCCAGUACGUGCGCCAGGCCCUGCCGUACCUGGAGAGCCCAGAGGAGCCCCUGCGAAAGCUGGCCAUCAAGUUCCUGGGGAUCGCCGCCAGGUCCAUGAAGCAGGAGCAGCCAGAGCUGCAGCUCAUCUGCCAGGCCCUUCAAGGCAUGACUGAUGACAGCCCUGCCGUUUCAAACCUGGCACU
This is a long non-coding RNA of Neopelma chrysocephalum (saffron-crested tyrant-manakin), 219 nucleotides long. RefSeq lists it as uncharacterized. NCBI's taxonomy places the organism in Eukaryota, Metazoa, Chordata, Aves, Passeriformes, Pipridae. The transcript is spliced from 4 exons. The record is from RefSeq and is a predicted model, not a curated record.